GAUGAAGAACGCAGCGAAAUGCGAUAAGUAAUGUGAAUUGCAGAAUUCAGUGAAUCAUCGAAUCUUUGAACGCACAUUGCGCCCCCUGGUAUUCCGGGGGGCAUGCCUGUCCGAGCGUCAUUACAACCCUCAAGCUCAGCUUGGUAUUGGGCCCCGCCGACCCGGCGGGCCCUAAAGUCAGUGGCGGUGCCGUCCGGCUCCGAGCGUAGUAAUUCUUCUCGCUCUGGAGGUCCGGUCGUGUGCUCGCCAGCAACCCCCAAUUUUUUAAGGUUGACCUCGGAUCAGGUAGGGAUACCCGCUGAACUUAAGCAUAUCAAUAAGCGGAGGA
This 328-nucleotide unclassified non-coding RNA is filed under the name soil metagenome. Its description in RNAcentral is "partial contains 5.8S ribosomal RNA, internal transcribed spacer 2, and large subunit ribosomal RNA". The stretch from base 1 to 120 matches the Rfam family "5.8S ribosomal RNA", at positions 35 to 154 of the family's 154-position model. The record is from RNAcentral.